Molecule: long non-coding RNA, 107 nt
Organism: Alosa sapidissima (American shad)
Lineage: Eukaryota; Metazoa; Chordata; Actinopteri; Clupeiformes; Clupeidae
Exons: 3
Source: RefSeq, a predicted model, not a curated record
CUGAUCUCCACACACUUGCACCCCAUAUCUUACUGAUCUCCACACACUUGCACCCCAGUAUCUUACUGAUCUCCUCCACACACUUGCACCCCAUAUCUUACUGAUCU